GGUGGCUCAGUGGUAGAGUACUUGCCUUGCAUGCAUGAGGUCCUGGGUUCAAUUCCUCAGCACCA
Non-coding RNA from Dipodomys ordii (Ord's kangaroo rat), 65 nucleotides. NCBI's taxonomy places the organism in Eukaryota, Metazoa, Chordata, Mammalia, Rodentia, Heteromyidae. The record is from Rfam.